GCGUUCUACUGAUAGUCACCUCCUCCAGGUCCCCAAAACCAAGCUCCUCACAAUGGGCGACAGAGCCUUUCAGGCAGCAGCACCACGCCUGUGGAAUGCCCUGCCCAUCCACCUGAGGGCGCCACAGUCAGUGGACUCUUUUAAAUC
Molecule: long non-coding RNA, 147 nt
Organism: Thalassophryne amazonica
Lineage: Eukaryota; Metazoa; Chordata; Actinopteri; Batrachoidiformes; Batrachoididae
Exons: 3
Source: RefSeq, a predicted model, not a curated record